This 390-nucleotide ribosomal RNA is filed under the name uncultured bacterium. RNAcentral's name for it is "bacterial SSU rRNA". It matches the Rfam family "Bacterial small subunit ribosomal RNA", at positions 29 to 416 of the family's 1533-position model. The record is from RNAcentral.
AGUGAACGCUGGCGGCAGGCCUAACACAUGCAAGUCGAACGGCAGCGGGUCAGUAGCAAUACUGAUGCCGGCGAGUGGCGGACGGGUGAGGAAUACAUCGGAAUCUACCUUGUCGUGGGGGAUAACGUAGGGAAACUUACGCUAAUACCGCAUACGAACUAUGGUUGAAAGCGGCGGACCGCAAGGCGUCGCGCGAUUGGAUGAGCCGAUGUCCGAUUAGCUAGUUGGCGGGUAAAGGCCCACCAAGGCGACGAUCGGUAGCUGGUCUGAGAGGAUGAUCAGCCACACUGGAACUGAGACACGGUCCAGACUCCUACGGAGGCAGCAGUGGGGAAUAUUGGACAAUGGGCGCAAGCCUGAUCCAGCCAUACCGCGUGUGUGAAGAAGGCC